Molecule: RNA transcript, 4458 nt
Organism: Zalophus californianus (California sea lion)
Lineage: Eukaryota; Metazoa; Chordata; Mammalia; Carnivora; Otariidae
Gene: LRFN5
Gene name: leucine rich repeat and fibronectin type III domain containing 5
Exons: 7
Source: RefSeq, a predicted model, not a curated record
CAGGCUGCCGCGGGGAGCCGGGUCCCGGGACCCGCCCUGGUCGCAGGCUGGGACCUGGGCUGCCAGCCGCACGCCUGAGCUGCGGACUGGCCCCGGCGCGGCGAGCAGCGGGCGGGGCGCUGUGUGCAGCCGAGCGCAGGGAGUCGGCCAGCGAGUGCAGAGCGGCCCGAACUGAGGACUCGUGUGUGUGUGUGUGCGCGCGCGUGUGCGUGCGUGUGUUUGCGCGUGUUUUUCCUUUUCCCUAGAGGAUGUGAAUGGCUUCGCAGCUGGCUGCUCCCUUAGGAUUCUUGACUGUGGAGCUUUGGGCUGUGAGCACAACCCACCCAUAUAAUCCAUUUUGCACGGUCGGUUUCUAUCCAGAGAAAAAAGCGCAACUGGACGGGGGUGGGGCCGACCAAGGAAACCUUCUGGAAAUACACACACAGAGAGAGGAAGAAUGAAAGACCUGAGGUGAUUUUCAUAACCUUCCUGCUGACCCUUCUGUUUCCCGAAAAGAUUGUGGAUCUUUUCUACCUUUUUGAAGUCAUCUUGGCAUUUUUUUUUUUUUUUUUUGUAAGCCGCUGUCCAGCUAGCUGUGUGUGUGUGUGUGUGUGUGCGCGCGCGCGCGCCUCUCUGAUGCAUUUGACUGUCUUUUAUCCAACUGCACAGAAGCAAAUGUUGUUAACUCGUCGGUGCCCCCUCGAUGCCCAGGUUCUCGAAGAGCAGGGAGGACGCCCAGACCCAUUUCUCCGGCUGGAUUCGGAACCGCUGCCUUGCUGUGGACCCGUGUGUGUGGAUCGCUUUACGCAGAGACUUGGAAAGCGCCAGUAUUAACUUGCUUCCAGGUACAUCACAAGGUCACCAGAGGGUCUUGUAGCCGUCUUGUUUCCGUGCAUCUAGACCUUCCUGCCUUGGCCAGAAGGAUAUUUAUGUUUCGGGCCACAUCAUCUGGAGCCAAAAGUUCAGCCCUUCGAGCUGGUUUCUGUACAAACAAGGUAACAAGAAUUGCUUUUCAAACUGCUUAACAAAAUCCCCGACUCUUCCUCAGCCCUUUCCCGGCUCUCUCCUCCCCACCAAAAUGUCACCAGCUCUUGAAUUACGUGGAUUUGGGUUGGAGGAGAACUUGAAGGAAACGUGAUCAAAAGGCGAUGUCAAACCACUCUCUUUUCUGCCUGUGGUCCGGUGGGCAUCAAAGCCGAUCGUGAGAAGGACCAGUCCCCUCCUUUUUUCUCCCUCCCCGUGCUGUGCUGGAUGUGCGUGUGCAAGAGUGAAUGCGAGUGCGCGCGCGCCUGUGUGCGUGUGUGAGUGUGUGUGUGUUUGAGUGUGUCUGUGUGUGCGUGCGCGGCCGCCCUGCCUCUGCCCGCUCCCCGGGCGCAGAAACGCGGGUUUCAUGGGGCGAUCACCGCGGAUCCCCCACCCAGCGCGACCUGCGGGCAGCGGCGGCAGUGGCAGGAGCCGCCUUUCGGACUCCCUAGGAUGCGGGUGCUGAGCUAUGGCAAAGGGCAGCAAAGUGACGAGCGAGACCCGCGUACGACUGUGAAAGCCACCUGGAGCCACCUUGCCGGGAUUGUACCUGCGGGCAGAAAGUCCUCCUACGACCGUCUUUUCCUCUAGAGGCACCAGAGUCCCUGUAACCAUUCAGCCAGGUGUUGGGAAGAUAUGUAGUAGCUGAGCACCCUUCUGACACUAUCCUCAGAAUCAGCUUUGGAGAUGCUUUCACCCUGUCCGUCUUCUUCAGCAGCCAGGCAGAGUGCUGACUCCUUCACAGCAGUGAGGAACUCUUCUGGCUCCAGAAGCUCUUAAAUCUGAUCUACAAUGGAAAAAUUUCUUUUUUAUCUGUUUUUCAUUGGCAUAGCAGUGAGAGCUCAGAUCUGUCCAAAGCGUUGUGUCUGUCAGAUUUUGUCUCCUAAUCUCGCAACCCUUUGUGCCAAGAAAGGGCUUUUAUUUGUUCCACCAAACAUUGACAGAAGAACUGUGGAACUGCGGUUGGCAGACAAUUUUGUUACAAAUAUUAAAAGGAAAGAUUUUGCCAAUAUGACCAGCUUGGUGGACCUGACUCUAUCCAGGAAUACAAUAAGUUUUAUUACACCUCAUGCUUUUGCUGACUUACGAAAUUUGAGGGCAUUGCAUUUGAAUAGCAACAGAUUGACUAAAAUUACAAAUGAUAUGUUCAGUGGGCUUUCCAAUCUCCAUCAUUUGAUACUGAACAACAAUCAACUGACUUUAAUUUCUUCUACAGCAUUUGAUGAUGUCUUUGCCCUUGAGGAGCUGGAUCUGUCCUACAAUAAUUUAGAAACAAUUCCUUGGGAUGCUGUUGAGAAGAUGGUUAGCUUGCACACCCUUAGUUUGGAUCACAAUAUGAUUGAUAACAUUCCUAAGGGGACUUUCUCCCACUUGCACAAGAUGACUCGGCUAGAUGUAACAUCAAAUAAGUUGCAGAAGCUACCACCUGACCCUCUGUUUCAGCGAGCUCAGGUAUUAGCAACCUCAGGAAUAAUCAGCCCAUCGACUUUUGCAUUAAGUUUCGGUGGAAACCCUUUGCAUUGCAAUUGUGAAUUGUUGUGGUUGAGGCGUCUGUCCAGAGAAGAUGACCUAGAGACUUGUGCUUCUCCAGCACUUUUAACUGGCCGCUAUUUUUGGUCAAUUCCUGAGGAAGAGUUUUUAUGUGAGCCUCCUCUCAUUACUCGUCAUACACAUGAGAUGAGAGUCCUGGAAGGUCAGAGGGCAACCCUGAGGUGCAAAGCCAGGGGGGACCCUGAACCUGCAAUUCACUGGAUUUCUCCUGAAGGGAAGCUGAUUUCAAAUGCAACAAGAUCUCUGGUGUAUGAUAAUGGAACACUUGAUAUUCUUAUAACAACUGUAAAGGAUACAGGUGCUUUUACCUGCAUUGCUUCUAAUCCUGCUGGUGAAGCAACACAAACAGUGGAUCUUCAUAUAAUUAAGCUCCCUCACUUACUAAACAGUACAAACCAUAUCCAUGAGCCUGAUCCCGGUUCUUCAGAUAUCUCAACUUCUACUAAGUCAGGUUCUAAUGCAAGCAGUAGUAAUGGUGACACUAAAAUGAGUCAAGAUAAAAUUGUAGUAGCAGAAGCGACAUCAUCUACUGCACUACUUAAAUUUAAUUUUCAAAGGAAUAUUCCUGGAAUACGUAUGUUCCAAAUCCAGUACAAUGGUACUUAUGAUGACACCCUUGUUUACAGAAUGAUACCUCCUACGAGCAAAACUUUUCUUGUCAAUAACCUGGCUGCUGGAACUAUGUAUGACUUGUGUGUCUUGGCAAUAUAUGACGAUGGCAUCACUUCCCUCACCGCCACAAGAGUCGUAGGUUGCAUCCAGUUUACGACGGAACAGGAUUAUGUGCGAUGCCAUUUCAUGCAGUCCCAGUUUUUGGGAGGCACCAUGAUUAUUAUUAUUGGUGGAAUAAUUGUAGCGUCUGUGCUGGUUUUCAUCAUCAUCCUCAUGAUCCGGUAUAAGGUUUGUAACAAUAACGGGCAACACAAGGUCACCAAGGUCAGCAAUGUCUACUCUCAAACUAAUGGGGCUCAGAUACAAGGCUGCAGUGUCACGCUGCCCCAGUCCAUGUCCAAACAAGCUGUGGGACAUGAAGAGAAUGCCCAGUGUUGUAAAGUUGCCAAUGACAACGUGAUACAGUCUUCAGAAACUUGUUCAAGUCAGGACUCCUCUACCACUACCUCUGCUUUGCCUCCUACCUGGACUCCAAGCGCUUCUGUGUCCCAAAAGCAGAAAAGAAAGACUGGCACAAAGCCAAGUGCUGAACCACAGAAUGAAGCUGUCACGAAUGUUGAGUCCCAAAACACUAACAGGAACAACUCAACUGCAUUGCAGUUAGCUAGUCGACCUCCUGAUUCUGUCACAGAGGGGCCCACAUCUAAAAGAGCACAUUCAAAGUCAAAUGCUUUGCUGACUAAUGUUGACCAGAUUGUCCAGGAAACACAGGAGCGGAAAUGAUACAUUAUACCUCCCUGGAAGUGGAUGAACAGAAGUGUUUCAGUGUUACCCAAAAUGAAUGAAGCCACUAUAAAAUGGAGCAAAAGACUACAUAUGAAAUAUUCAUGAGGCUGGAGUUAAUCUGAAGAGCACUACUUCUUUCUCUCCUGAAAAAUGUUGCCACUGAUAUUUUUACUGGAUAAAAUUAAAAAAAAAAUGUUUAAAUUCACAAAGGCUAAUUGUUGAACUGGUGUCCUAGAAGAAAUUGUCCACAGGAGCCGAAGCAGAAGUCUCUGACGCUGGUGGAACUGGCUCUAUCAGACCAUGGUUCAUCCCCUUUUAAAGCCAAAUUUUUUUUUUCUUCUAGCCUACAAGUAUUAUUUUUUUUUUUUUGAGAGAAGGAAACAGAAAAGCCUACAUUGGCACUGAGUUCUGUAUCAAUCCAUGUUACAUUGCCAUCCAUGAUUUAAGACUGUAGAAUCCUGAAUAAUCUAUAUCACUUUAACAAAUAAAUGUUUUACUAUGACAGAA